ACAUCACCUCUCUCUGACGUCCACCGCCGGAUCAUAAUUGGGGAUUCUCAGGUAAAGUUUAAAAAAAUAAAUAAUAACUGUUGAUUUUUUAUUGGCUUUGAGACAUUUUCAUUAAGGCAGAUAUCCACUUUUUAUCCACAACGGCUCGCAAUCAUUGAAAACAGUGUGGGAAUCCCAUCCACCGAGAGCUGUGCGGAGCAAAAGCAUCCAAGAGUAUCUGUAUGGUUAGCUCGAUAGCAAAAUCAGGGAAAGCAAGUUGAAGGUGACGCCCACGAGGCCAGGAGGACCUAAAACAACAACCUAAGCGGUUGUUGCCAGAUAAGAAAUAAUAGGAAAAAGGGGUGAACGUUGUCACUUUGAAGGAAAAAAAAACUAUCAUCGAAUUUGUGGAGAGACAAAUUUUGUGUGACUAGGACAGCCACAUAUGUAGUUGUACAGAUACAUCUGUUUCAACCUGAUCAGGUUAUUUGGGAGCUAUACAAAAUUAUUAUGCAUACUUUGUCCAAUUUUUGUACGAAUGGUCAAAACAUAUGGUGGACGAUGAGUACUCUCAUAUGUGUUUCACAUUGGUGAGUGACAUCUUUCUAACAGGGUGAUGAGACAAUUCGAUUUUCAACUGGAUGUCCCAUCGCCUUGUAAUACUAAACCCCUACUGCAUGAUAUUGACUUAAGGACUGGAGAUUGAUCCGGAUGUCACUCAAGACUAUAUUCAUUGGUAUAAUAAUAUCACAAGGCGCUACGUCACUCGUCCGGAGCAGCUGUGGGUCAUAUGAGAUCGAACAACCGUAGACUCCGUGAUGUUGCGAAUGAUCCAAACCAGGUUCUUGCUAUAUGUAGUGACAACCAAAGCUAUAUGGAGGAGAUACAUUAUAUAUACGAUAUACCUAUUGUUUCUCCACCAACCCCUAGACGUAGAGGACCUAUACGAGAAAAAUAUUAGUUUGAUGAGGUUGCCCAUAAUGUGAAAGAUUUGCCCUUGUGAUGCAGACGCAAAGUCAAACUAAUUAUGUUAGCCCAAUGAUGAUUAUGCCAGCAUUUGGUUCAGGACAUUAUGACUGAGGCUGUUCUUUCGUCUUCAUACGUGCAUGGACACGGUCGGGGUUGUGGAGAGCAUAAUGAAUAUUCAUAUCAUGAAGUGUCUGCAAAGGUACCAGAGCAACAUCAAGAAGAACCAGAGCAACCUCAAAUUCGAAGUCGACGACGACAACCAACUCGAAAUCGAUGACGUCCGUCUUGUGGGACACAUUAAUUUUUGUAAUUAUUUUUAAUA
Benincasa hispida (wax gourd) is the source of this 1270-nucleotide non-coding RNA. NCBI's taxonomy places the organism in Eukaryota, Viridiplantae, Streptophyta, Magnoliopsida, Cucurbitales, Cucurbitaceae. The record is from RefSeq and is a predicted model, not a curated record.